AGUUUUAUUUUUGUGGCAGAGAGGAUACAAACCAACCGAUCCAGCUGCCUCAACACGAAGGGCCCGAAGCUGCUUUUCCCCUCGCGCAAAGCUCACCUUUGCUGAACAUAGUCCUAACACACCACAUACAUGUGAGGAUAAGGACCAGUUGGGAGCUUUAUGGGGGGCGAUGAGAAAAACAACUUGCCCGUCAUACAGCCUGUCCUGGUGGUGCAGCAGUUUGACACCCGUGAGUGUGGGGCUGACUAAGGAGCAGGGCCGGGGUGUGGAGAAGCAUCUUUGCAGGGACAGAGAGCUCAGGCUAAAACGAACCCUGCAGCCAUCUAGCGGACAAGAAGCGCUAACAGACACACGUAGGUCGCUAACGGACACACGUAGGUCACUAACAGACACACGUAGGUCGCUAACAGACACACGUAGGUCGCUAACAGACACACGUAGGUCGCUAACGGACACACGUCGGUCGCUAACAGACACACGUCGGUCGCUAACAGACACACGUAGGUCGCUAACAGACACACGUCGGUCGCUAACAGACACACGUAGGUCGCUAACAGACACACGUAGGUCGCUAACAGACACACGUAGGUCGCUAACAGACACACGUAGGUCGCUAACAGACACACGUAGGUCGCUAACAGACACACGUCGGUCGCUAACAGACACACGUCGGUCGUUAACAGACACACGCAGGUCGCUAACAGACACACGUCGGUCAUUAACAGACACACGUCGGUCGUUAACGCACACACGUCGGUCACAAA
Anguilla rostrata (American eel) is the source of this 764-nucleotide long non-coding RNA. RefSeq lists it as uncharacterized. The record is from RefSeq and is a predicted model, not a curated record. NCBI's taxonomy places the organism in Eukaryota, Metazoa, Chordata, Actinopteri, Anguilliformes, Anguillidae. The transcript has 3 exons.